GAUGAACGCUGGCGGCGUGCCUAAUACAUGCAAGUCGAGCGAACGGACGAGAAGCUUGCUUCUCUGAUGUUAGCGACGGACGGGUGAGUAAGACGUGGAUAACCUACCUAUAAGACUGGGAUAACUUCGGGGAACCGGAUCUAAUACUGGAUAAUAUUUUGAACCGCAUGGUUCAAAAGUGAAAGACGGUCUUGCUGUCACUUAUAGAUGGAUCCGCGCUGCAUUAGCUAGUUGGUAAGGUAACGGCUUACCAAGGCAACGAUGCAUAGCCGACCUGAGAGGGGGAUCGGCCACACAGGAACUGAGACACGGUCCAGACUCCUACGGGAGGCAGCAGUAGGGAAUCUUCCGCAAUGGGCGAAAGCCUGACGGAGCAACGCCGCGUGAGUGAUGAAGGUCUUCGGAUCGUAAAACUCUGUUAUUAGGGAAGAACAUAUGUGUAAGUAACUGUGCACAUCUUGACGGUACCUAAUCAGAAAGCCACGGCUAACUACGUG
This 497-nucleotide ribosomal RNA is filed under the name uncultured bacterium. RNAcentral describes it as "partial 16S ribosomal RNA". It matches the Rfam family "Bacterial small subunit ribosomal RNA", at positions 28 to 507 of the family's 1533-position model. The record is from RNAcentral.